This 4968-nucleotide long non-coding RNA is filed under the name Sus scrofa (pig). RNAcentral describes it as "lncRNA (ENSSSCG00055006297.1)". The record is from RNAcentral. Lineage: Eukaryota; Metazoa; Chordata; Mammalia; Artiodactyla; Suidae.
CCUUUCAAGAAUGGGGUCCCCAUUUCCCCCAGUCCCAUGGAGCUCCUGCAUACAAGCCCCACUGAUCUUCAAUGCCAGAUGCUCUGGGGCUCUUUCUCCCAGUGCCAGAUCCCCAGGCAAGGGGAUUUGAUGUGGAGCUCAAAAUUCUCACUCUUGUAAAUGAGUCUCUGUGAUACAGCAAGUUUCCAAUCUGUGGGCUUCCCACCCGAAAGGUAUGGGGUUGCUUCUAUCAUGUAAUCACCCCUCCUACUGUCUUGAUGUGGCCUCCUCUUUGUCUUCUGGAAUAGGAUAUCUUUUUGAAAGUUUCCAGUUCAUUUUGUUGAAGGUUAUUCAGCAUUUGGUUGUAGUUUUGUUGUUUUCAUGAGAGAAGAUGAGCUCCAGUCCUUCUAUUCUGCAUUCUUAAUCCCCAUCAUGAACAAUUAUUUUAAAACCUUUUUUCCUCCACUCAGAUUUAGGGCACAUAAAAAAUAUGCUAGUAUGUUAAUUUUUGAUUCAGGAUUCUCAAAGGAGGCACAGCAUCAAUUCAGAUAAAUUUGAUGUGAUCAGAGAGAUCUCAACUUUGUUAAUUCUUGAAGACAUAUUUGCCAUUUGAAAUAGUAAUUUGCUGAGUGGAUAAUUGAGAAAACUGAGUUUGGACCAUAUUUCUGGUCUGAAUAAAUUAUGAAUAUCUCAUAAUUGUCAGUGUAGACUCGUGUGAAACAUUUACUUUGAAUUUUGCUGAAGAUAUUAUUCAUAUUUAAGUAUUUAUUUGUGGUAAAUAGGUAUAGAUUGGUACAUACUUAGGUUUUGCUUUAAACAGUCACUUUUUUUUCAAAUCAUGAAUUUUUUUUUUCUCUUUUUUGAGGACAGUUCAUGUAAAAAUGGAUUAUCUUUAGCAUGAUUUUAGUAUUGUCUUUUCUUAUGGCCUGUUGAUUUUAAAACAAUGUUUUAGCCUCAUCACUGUAAUUUUUAUUUGGUGUGUGAUUUUCUGUCAUGUCCAAUAUAUUAUUUAAUAAUAAAAGUUUUAAAAAAUUCCUGAAUAGCACAAUUUAUUUUUUUUCUGAUUAUGAAAUACGCUGAAGUUUAGAAAAAUGUGGUCACUGAUUUUAGUGACCAUACUACAACCUAAUUUUACAUUUCUUUGGUCAUUUUAGGAACCAUAUAGUUUUUCUCCAACUGGAAUGUCUACCCAGGACUUGAAAUUUGAACUGUAGGGACUUCUAUAUUCCUGAAACAAGUUAGGGCCUCAAAUACAAUCCAGUCAAGUUCUUACUCAUGCAUAAGCUCCCCAAGGGCAGGGGUUUUACCUCUGUUGUUCUCAAGAGCCUAAUGCAGUGUCAGGCACAUAGUAAUGUAGGAUCAAGCGUGCUUAUGUAAUUUUAAAACACAGUCCCUCAGUUCUUUUGCUCCAGAGUCCAAAUAAUAACAAUACUAGAAACACAGAGUGAAACAGGAAUAACAUUUGUCUCAGCAAAAUGACAUGUAUAUGGUUCUCAGAAAACUAGCUGUAUCUUCUUGUUUUUAGAACUGUAAGAUUAUUAAAUAAACUUCCGGACUGAGUGUUUAAGAUGGUGUUUCCUAUGCACAUAACUGGAUGGAUAAUCAGAAAUUCUGAGAGAUGAAGCUCUCAUUUUGAGGAAAUGCAAAACAAUGGAAUACAUUUUAUUACUUUGCAUUUAAAUCAUGGGGGCAUUGAAUACUUAGAAGUGUGUUCUAGCUAUUCCUGUCCUCUUUCUUAGUAGGCAGUUAUUUUCACUGACAGGUGAGAACGUUUUACCUGUUUUUGUUUGAUAGAUAUGAGCUCUUAGGGCCUGCUUUUUCCUUCCAUGUGCCCUCUCCCCUUCUUCUUCCCAAGUAAGUUGUUGAAACAGGACUAUUUUGAGGUAAAGUGAGGAAGAAGAGAAGUACACUCUCUGCUGGCUCUCUCUAAACCAAACGGAAAGAUCAAAGUUAGGGUCAGAGCUAAUAUUGUCAACUUAUAAAAGAACCUACUCAUCAUGUCUAACUUUCUUUGACGGUACCUACAAAGGCUUCUGUAUCCAAGGAUGAUUUUAUUGUCAAUAUGCAAUCAGGCAGGUCAAUGUUCAUUUCAUUUGUGAAGAAAACCACAUCAAGCAAAUUUCAUUAUAAAACCUAAAAAUCAAUAUACAUUCAUGCCAGUGUUCUCUAAAUAAUGAUUGUGAGUUCUCCUUUACCCUGAAAUAACAUUUUUUAAGGAUUGGAUUUUUACUAAAAGAAGAAAGAAGCCAUGCUUUUUCCUUGGACAGUAUUUGUACUGGAUAUUAAGACAGUGAUAUUAAGAAUGACUUUUGGAGUCCAUUUUCUUUUAAAUGUGUUUAUAGGUCCCUUAUGGUGCCUACAUACGUUGACACUGACCAGAGUGAGAAAAUACACUGACGUGUCAACUGGUAAGUAUCAGAGCAAUGAUGAAAAUCAUAGCUAAUAGUGGUUCAAUAUGCACUAUUUAUGGACCAUAUGGUGAGAAUUUUCAUUUGAUUUUUGUAUUUAAUCUUUAUAACCAUCCUUGUCAGGAGUCCAUAGUUUGUGUAGGCUAAAUGCUAUCAGCUACAACCACCACAGAUUAGAUGUUUUUACAUAGGCGUCAUUCCAGUUGUGGCCCACCCUUUCACAGAGCUUCCAAAUCCUAUGCUGGAUUCCCUUUUCCCUCUGACGUAAGAAGGGAGAAAGAAAGUGAGGAGAGCAAGAGUGAUUUUACAUGGAAAGGCAUGUGUCCUUUUUUCCACAUUCCAUUGGGGAGAAUUCAGUCCUGUGGCCACACCUAAUUGCAAGGGUGUCUGGGAAAUGCAAUCCAGCCAUAGGAACAAUGGAGAAAGGAAUAUAUUUACAGAAAAAGUAAGUAGCCAGUCUUUCCCACAAGGGGGUGUUAUUCCCCUUUUUAUAGAUAGGAAACUAAGGUUUAAAGUUCAGUUAAUAUUGACAUCAUUUGGAUAAGUUAUGGUAAUGCCAGUUCUGCCUAAACAAUGCUUGAUAGGGGAUCUCACUUCCCAGAACAGGGAUUGAAGCCAGGCUGCUGAGGUGAAAGUGUCUCCAACAGACCACCAGGAAACACCUUAAAAAUCCACGUUUUUAAGCACUGCCUGGGGUGGGUAUAUACACCUUACUGUGAUUUACCCUGGAGACACAUGGUAUCUUCCUCAUGAAAAGAUUAGCCAGGGACUUACAAGGCUGAAAUUUUCACUUUCUCUCUAUGAAGGAUCCUCCACUAAACCUUGUUGUAGUGCCACUGAUGAGGCUAAAACCCUAAAACAGAAGUCAUGAGUACACCCAACUGGGGCACAUUGGAGGAAGCAGCAGGCAUUCCCUGGGUUCACUUUUCUUCCUGUAGAGACAAUAGGGAGGAAAUGAGAGAGAGUUCACCGUCAGGUCUCUCAGGUCUCUUUUUGGAAAACUCUCCCAUCCUUCUGGGUUGCAUCAUCCAGCCCCCGAGGAGCUGCUUAGGAAGCUGUAUUCCACAUGUGCUGUGGUGAUCCAUCUAAAUAUGAAAAUAACAGGGGGCAGCAGAGGUUUUUGGGCAUGUGGCAGGUGGUCCUCAGGAGGCUAAAUCUAGUAUGCUUGCCAUCAACCAUGUAGACCGAGGUGGAACAAAGUGGCAGAGUGUCCAAUAGUAGGGGAGGCAGAAUAAACUUUGGGGAGGUGUGUGUGAUGUGACGGGUGCAGUUGAUCAUAGUUAGGACCCUAGGUUCUGGCACACUCAAGUCCUUACUGGGCCCAUGAAUAUGUUAGCUUUCUUUUCCUUUCCCCAUCCCCAUAUGUGACUAAAUACUACUCUUUUAUUUAGAGCCUCAACUUUGUUUCCUCCUCUUGCCCCAUCUUUCUUUUCAUUGCUUCCUUAUCAUCUCUUCAUUCUCUGUUUAAAUGGCCCUACUUCCUUUACUCCAUCCAAAGCUCCUUGGAAGCAAGGGGGUUUUAUUAUUAUUAACUGUUUUUUACCCCAAAGUAAACACAUAGUAGAAAAGCAAGUAGGAAUGAAUUGAUGAAUGAUAAUGACAACUCAUAUUUAUUAACAUUUGCCAUAUUAUAAGCAGUAUAUCAAUUUCCCUAAUAAUUGUAUUUUCAGAGCAUUAUUAAGGUAGUAUCUGUUGCUUUAAUUCUUUUUCUGUCGGUUCUAAGAAUAUUAUGCACUCAUAGGAAUGUGUAAUUUUAUGCCAGUCUACACUCCAUAUAGAUUUUGUCUUUUCUUAUGUCAUAUAUAUCGUUUUCCCAGAUGAAUUACAAUCAAUUCUUAUUUUUAAUUCCCAUAUUAAAGGCAUUCCAAACCAAAUGUUUUUAACAACUACCACUCAAGAGGAGUUUAAAGAACAACUUAGCUAAUUCUUCUUAUUGAAUUUAAAAUUUGUUUUUACUUUGUUGUCAGUUAAAAAUAUUGAGACAAGUUUGAGGCAUUGUGAUUUAUAAGCAGAGUAUGUACUUGGUCAUUCAAAUCAUCAAAUAUACGCUUUGCUUUUCCCAUAUAUAUUUAGUCUUCAUCCCUGGUUCCUGAGUUACAGCUGCCAAAAGUCUUGGAAUGUCCUAAGUACUAAGCGUGACCAAGGUGUAUCUUGGCUUACACUUAGCAUCCUGAGUUGGAGGGGGUCUUGGAACCUCCAGUUUGUAGCCUGUUGGUCAGAAGCACGGGGAACAACCUGGGUUUGUGACUGGCAUCUGAAAUGCAAAAGGAGGCAGUCCUGUAGGACUGAUCUCUUAAUCUGUGGAGCCCAAUGCUGCGUCUGGGUACAUAGUGUCAGAAUUGAGUUGUAGGAAUUCCCGUCACGGCUGAGUAGAAACGAACUGACUAGUAACCAUGGGAAUGCGGGUUCGAUCCCUGGCCUCCAACCAUCAGUGGGUUAAGGAUCCAGUGUUGCUGUGAGCUGUGGUAUAGAUUGCAGACACAGCUUGGAUCUGGUGUUUCUAUGUCUGUGGUAUAUGUCAGCAGCUGUAGGUCCAGUUCAACCCCUUGCCUGGGAACCUCUGUAUGCUGCAGGUGCAGCC